UGGGGAAUAUUGGCGCAAUGGGCGGAAGCCUGACGCAGCAACGCCGCGUGCGGGAUGACGGCCUCGGGCUUGUAAAACCGCUUUUCAGCAGGGACGAAGCGUGAGUGACGGUACCUGCAGAAGAAGCACCGGCCAACUACGUGCCAGCAGCCGCGGUGAUACGUAGGGUGAGAGCGUUGUCCGGAAUUAUUGGGCGUAAAGAGCUCGUAGGUGGUUGAUCGCGUCGAAAGUGAAAUCUCAGGGCUUAACCCUGAGCGUGCUUUCGAUACGGGUCGACUAGAGGAAGGUAGGGGAGAAUGGAAUUCCUGGUGGAGCGGUGGAAUGCGCAGAUAUCAGGAGGAACACCAGUGGCGAAGGCGGUUCUCUGGACCUUUCCUGACGCUGAGGAGCGAAAGCGUGGGGAGCAAACAGGAUUAGAUACCCUGGUAGUCCACGCCCU
Molecule: ribosomal RNA, 439 nt
Filed under: uncultured bacterium
Lineage: Bacteria
Description: partial 16S ribosomal RNA
Rfam family: Bacterial small subunit ribosomal RNA
Source: RNAcentral